UGCAGUCUGGCUGCUGAGGUUAAGC
This 25-nucleotide non-coding RNA is filed under the name Cricetulus griseus (Chinese hamster). The record is from RNAcentral. Lineage: Eukaryota; Metazoa; Chordata; Mammalia; Rodentia; Cricetidae.